RNAcentral lists this long non-coding RNA (276 nucleotides) under Mytilus galloprovincialis (Mediterranean mussel). The record is from RNAcentral. Lineage: Eukaryota; Metazoa; Mollusca; Bivalvia; Mytilida; Mytilidae.
UCCCCUGUCUUAUAAAAUCAUAUCGAACAUUGUCAUACAUGUACUAAUAAUUGAUGUAGGCCAAGUAAAAAACUUCACAUAUGCAUUCAUUACAUUGUCAUAUCUAACAUUAUGAUACAUGUACUAAUAAUUUGAUGUAGACCAAGUAAAAAACUCUACAUAUACAUUCAUACAUUGUCAUAUCUAACAUUAUGAUACAUGUACUAAUAAUUGAUGUAGACCAAGUAAAAAACUCCACAUAUACAUUCAUACAUUGUCAUAUCUAACAUUAUGAUA